This 355-nucleotide long non-coding RNA is filed under the name Medicago truncatula (barrel medic). RNAcentral's name for it is "long non-coding RNA (MTRU_LNC000601)". The record is from RNAcentral. Lineage: Eukaryota; Viridiplantae; Streptophyta; Magnoliopsida; Fabales; Fabaceae.
CUUAUUCAAUUCAACUCAUAAUGAGACACAAUACAUUUGUAUACAGUACAAGUUGUGCAUUAUCUUCUAAUUAACUCCAGCCAACUUCUAAUUGAUUUGAUACUAACAAAUUACAAUUUCAGCUAACCAACUUCAAGAGCUAGCUAGUUGUUAUCUGCCUCGAUAACUUGCAACAGAAGCAACAACUACUAACUAAAGUAAAUCCAAACAUUUCAAAAGGCCAUCAGCAUAAAUUGGUAUUAGACAUUACAGAUCAAAAGAAUGGAGAUUCAUCUCAUAAGAAAAAUAAGCUUCAGAGCUCAAUCAACAGAAAAAUUCAUUAGGGUUCAUGUUCGAUUAACAGAUAAAAGAUAGG